AGGUUGCUCCACCACUCCCCAGCAGACGUGAAGCCAAACCUCCUCCUCCACCCCCAAAAACCAGGAAAUCCAGCGUUGUCUCUUCAGAGCAAGGCUUAUAGUGAGGAUCAGCACUUGCUGGAGCAACAGCAAGCACCCAGAGUGAAAUGCCUGCUUUCUUUUUACUGACAGUGCUGGGCUCUCUGACCCAAAACACCAGUGAUCUCACCUGCCAUUCCAUUCACUCCCUUUGGAGUUUUCUUUGGGAAAUACCAAAAGGAACUGAUAUUGUGACUGUAUUCCCUAACGUCUGGUUUACCUUUCCAGUACUGAGACACUAAUCACAUAGCAGGAGAAGUCACCCUGCUGGAAUUUUUCUCUGUCUUAAGUCUUGUCUGUCCCAAGUUCUUUCACUGAUGCAAUUUCAGGAGCUCAUUCCUAGUGUAGACCUGUCACAGUAGUGAUUUGCACCAGUGUUUGGAACAAGGUAAGCCACGCCAGUAUGUGUCCUGCAGUGUUUUCAUGUAAGUUCAUUACACUUCACAGCUGCACUUCCCUCCUCCUGUCCCUGUGGCAUAGCCCAGCCCUGAUCUGCAUGAAGUGAAGCAGAUCACAGCCAGCCCUGAGUUGUGAAAUGUCAGGUGCUGGUGUAUGAUGUGCAGUCUCCAAAGGUUCCUGAGUGCAGGCAGAGACCUGAGCAUUGUUAGCAGAAUAAGGUCUUUUUUUUCUGCUAGUGAUCAUAUGUAUUGCAGAUGAAGUGCAGACAUUCUGCCUUCACCUUAAAUACAUACAUCUACCAUCUCUGCUCUGAGUAGUGGCAGUUGCGCAUUCCCAAUGGAGAGUUUAGGUUCACCAGUACUUUGUCAUGAUUUCACUGUUGAUUCUGGUUUUAACACUACAGAGCAGUUGAUACUCCACCCUGAAUUAUGUUACCUACCCAGUUUGUGCUUGCGUCUGGGACUUGGUAGAAUGUUUCAUCUUGUGCUUUUUAAUAGGGUGCAAAAAGGUGCCUCUCACCAGUAAGUAUGUGAGAAGAGUCAAAGCUGCACUGAUGCCAGCACUGUACUGGUAACCAGCAACUGAGAGCAGGAUGUAUAGAUCUAGCUAUACAUCCUGACCUCAGAAACAAAGUCUGACAGUUACUGUAACCUUUACUUUGGCUGGGUAAAUUCACAAAGACAUAGCUAAUUCUCAUCCUGUUCUUUUUCCCUGCACCCAUUUGCGGCAGUACUUGCACUUUGUUUUCUAGCCUGCCUUGAUCUGGGUUUUUAACAGCCACUGGCCUUUUAGGAGCUGUUUAGAUCUGGGAUGCACGUGGAAGACUUUACUAUUCACCACCUAGUUCCUAUUGCUUCCUCCACCUCUCUGGAGCUUUUAUUUCCUUGGAGAAUGAGAUAAUGUGUUUAACUUCUCUUUUACUUAUUUAUUUCCUGCUCAGUCUGAAUAUCAGCAUCAGUCCUUGUAUAGAGAAAAAAUGGCACAAUCUUAGGUUUUAAUGUUUCUCCAUUCACAUGAUCCAUACAGAAGGCGGCUGUUGCACACUGUUAGAAUAGCGCGUCCUCACAGUUGCAUAGUGACCAAAAAUUCAACACAAAUAUCACUGUUAUUUCGGGAGCAGACGAGCCUUAGACACAGCAUUCCUCUGUGCCUGAGCUGCCACUGGAAUCUGGCUGGUACAACCCAGGACGUCCCCAUUUGUGAUCAGUACUACUCAUUUUGCACCUUUCAGGGCUACUUGCUCUGGGCUGCAGCAUUGAGGUGGGGACCUGCCCCUUACAAGCCAGAAGACAAUUCAGUUUAAAACUCUCUUUCAGUGUAUUUCUCCUCUGUUCAGGGAGAAACAAAACCAAAGUAACCCCACAAUGGUUUUUGUUCAGACUGAAGUAGCCCUUUCCUUUGUUCUUACACAUGUUCUUUGGCUUCAGUGUGGCUCCAGUUCAGGAAACCUGCAGAAGCUGCAUUUGCUUUGGUGCCUGCGUGGCUCUGUGAAACAGAUUGCUCUCAUGGAAGGAUCCUAUUGGAUUCACAUCACAGAACAGGUUGGAGCCAUUUGGAAGUUGCCCUGCAGUCGCAUCACACACAUCUGCAGCCGUGUUUGCUGUAGCACACGUACAACUGCCUUCUGGGUUGUUGCCUUCCCAGGGGAAAUCUUGGAAACCUUCCUGGACAACUUGACCGUGGUUGCCCCCCUCUCUCUGGUGCAUUGUAGGACUCGUCAGCUCCACAUUAUGUUCUUGGACAUAGAUGCUGCUUGACUUGAAAACCACAGGGUUUUCUUGUCUUUCAUUUUUUGUGCACUUCCUUCUCUUGUAACCACUGUCUUCCUUCUGCUGCACACAUGAACUAAAGGGACCUCUGAAACUCUUCACUUGAACAAGAACUUUUUGUCUUCAGCGAGAAUUUUGCUUGAGAUAGAACAUCAGGAUGUGGUCUGAAUUGUAGAAAAGUGGGUAUUAACUCCACCUCUCACUAAUUCAGUGCCUUCCCCCAUUCUACAUCUGCCUGUUACCUCAUUCUUGGGUGCAUUUCUUUUUCAGAGCAGGUUGGCUCUUAACUCCUGUGGUAAGGCAGCAGAAACAAAGGACUCUGUGUGGGAAUCUCAGCUGAGGGUUUGUCUGUUGUGGGGAAACAAACUAGCUAUCAGCUUUGGGGAUUUUGGUUCCAAGUGACUUUUGAGUCUUAUUUCCCUACUUUUUUGAUCUGCUUUAAUCACUUGAACUCACACAUUGGGGUUUUUUCCUAGAGGAGGGAACUAGUCCAUGCAAAAAAACCUCACUGGAGGAAGUCUGACCUUGGGAAGAAUUGUUCAGCUGAUCUUCAGUGACCCUUUCCAUAAUGCUCUUUAACUUGGGGAGACUUGGUUCUCACUGUUUGGAGUGGGUUUUUGCAGUUUUAUAGACUAGGUUUACGAACAGGCCUUUCAUUUCUAUUUUGAUCUUUGACUUUUCCUAUAGAACCAGCUCCUUAAAAAGCAGUGAAGGUGUUAUCUUCCUGUAUGCUCUCCUUGCAAUCCACUGUCUCACCUGGCAGGUUCCUUAAACUUGGUCUUGGCAUGCUGUCCACACAGGUCAGGCUUUUCUCCUUGCUGCCUUUGUUGUCUGGCCGGUUGGAGACUGUUGUAGCUGAGCCAUCACCCUAACUGGAAGGAAAGGAACAGCUGAUGCCUAAAGAGCAUGGAGCAAGAUUUUCCUUCCUGGGAUAUUUUGGGCAUUUCAUUGGCAAAUCUGCUGUGCCAGAAAGGGGUUUAAGGUUGGGGGAUUUUUCCUUCCUCAGCAUUAUUUUGUUCUAGAGUCUGAAGUGGUGUAAACUCUCCCUGUUUCUCCUUCUUUCCUUUGGAAAACUAACUCACAAAUAGGUGUUCCAUUUUGAUAACUGUAUUAUUGCCUGUGGUGUGUGAGGAGUUCUGUUCUCAGCUGAUAUAAGUCAGCACAGUCUGCUUAGAGGUACUAUAUGGACUCUGUAGUGAUUCUGUGGGGCUUUGUGCCAGUUUUAGGAAAGAGCAUUGUCUUCUAAGUGUCAGAUUUUUAAAGGCAGUUGGAUAUUUAAGUGUGUGAAUAAGGAUGGGGCCUGGCUCAUUUUAAUUAAGUGAAAGUAAGUGCCUGCACUUAGGAGAAAUCCCACCAGACCACUGGUGAUUUGAGUGUUCUGCUCUUUGCUGUGGUACUUCCCUGACUUAAAUGCUGAGAUUUAACUUUCAGAGACAAUUUAAGGUCUCACUACUUCGCUUUCAGAAUCAGGAUCACCUUUCCAUGUUUAUUAGAUGCUCUUGGAAAUGUCAUCCACUGUCUUUUAAACUGGAGGGCUAGAAAUGGGAGUAGAACAUUAAUGUUGUCAUCUCUGCACACCAGAAGUGAACGCAAACAGCAGCAUUUCUACCCAGUUCAUGGGUCUUGAAUAAAACAAACCUCCCAAGUUAAAUAUCGAGUCUGCAGAGAAGACAAACUCUAAUCCCAUUUCGUAGCUGUGCUCUUCAAAGCUGGUGUUACAUUUCAAAUCUUAGAGGAUUUUGUUUUGCUUUGGAGAAAUAUGCUCAACACUUGUUUUCUGGAGCUUUUAAUUAAAAUUUGUCAUGCUGUGAUAAAUUCCUUUAAAAAUGUUACAGGCUCUAAUCCACAUCAGGGAGGAGGGAAACAGACAGCUUUCCAUUUCAGUGGAUUAUUGGAUUAGGAAAGGACACCGAUUCCAGUGAGAACAGAUCUGUGAUCCGCAGUGGCAGAAAACACUGUCAUGUCUAUGCAGUGGGUUUGGAGAACCUGCAUCUAACGACCUUCACACUGUGCAGCCCAGUGUGUGCUCCACACAUGAACAGUGAGUUAGACUUGGAGUGAUGAUGGCUCAGAUUUUCUCUCCUUAUUUAUUUUUAUAAGUGUAAAUGGAAAUAAUAAGUUGAAGGUGUCUGUAAUUUAACUGUAAGCUUUUUUAUGGUGAAAGCGUUCCUGACCCAUUACUGCUGCCUUCUUUUAAUUCUUUUAAUUAAAAACCUUCAGUAUUUGAUAUUUACUGUUGCAGACCAAAUUAUCUAGUGGAUCAGGGUGAGCUUUUCCUAGGACUACAUGGGAAAGAAAAAGAAAAGGAAUAAUGUGAUUUCAUUGCUGCUUGUGCUUUUCAAAGGUGCAUGAGGUUCACCUAAUUCUGCUCCUGUUAACAUUAAAGCAUCUUUAGGACUUUGUGGCACUACAGAGAGUACACAAAGGGGUAUAGAGGAGCUUAAUAAAAGGUGAAAAGCAUCUUUUGAUGCUGUAUUGGUCUGACUGUCGUGAUUUAAGGCUGUCUGAAUCCCUGGACAUGCCUGACUGCAUACUUCAAACCUGGUUUUCACAUGCAUGGUCUGCAGUUGUCUGUUUUCUUAAGCAGAGGUGUAAAUCCUCAGCAGCUCUGAAAUUCAGCCCCAACAUGCAUGGUAUUAAUUGAUGUAGUUUUUCAUUGUUGGUAUUACAAAGGUUUAAUGACAUGAUAAACCUUGGGACUUGUUCAUCUUGAAUUCAGGAGAAUACGGAUGUUGUGUAACAGUAUUUUGUGAGUGGUUUGAGAUCCUGGAUGUGAUGGUUUAGUUACAAAACGCACCUCUGCAGACUGCAAAGACCUUGGUUUUCUUUUCCCUCUUUCUUUUAGUUCUCUGCAAUUGAAUCAGCAAAAAAUACAGCUUUUAAACUGGCUCUGAAGAAAGAGUAGGAGCUAAGCUUUGGAAAGGGAGUCUGCAUCUCUCUGGGUAAAUGACAUCUGAUUCACUAAGUCUGUAAAGCAAGGUGUAUAAAUUUUCAUGGUUUUUAAAAUGUAUUAACUGUUGUAAAGUUUGUAAAUACCUUUUUAAAAUAAAUGUAGUUUUUAUGAGUGAACCAGUAA
RNAcentral lists this long non-coding RNA (5322 nucleotides) under Strigops habroptila (Kakapo). RNAcentral's name for it is "lncRNA (ENSSHBG00005007533.1)". Lineage: Eukaryota; Metazoa; Chordata; Aves; Psittaciformes; Psittacidae. The record is from RNAcentral.